Molecule: ribosomal RNA, 400 nt
Filed under: uncultured bacterium
Lineage: Bacteria
Description: bacterial SSU rRNA
Rfam family: Bacterial small subunit ribosomal RNA
Source: RNAcentral
GGGAAUCUUGCACAAUGGGGGAAACCCUGAUGCAGCGACGCCGCGUGAACGAUGAAGCCCUUCGGGGUGUAAAGUUCUUUCGACAGGAACGAUAAUGACGGUACCUGGAGAAGAAGCUGCGGCUAACUACGUGCCAGCAGCCGCGGUAAUACGUAGGCAGCGAGCGUUGUUCGGAGUUACUGGGCGUAAAGAGUGCGUAGGCGGCGAGCCAAGUUUGGUGUGAAAUCUCCCGGCUUAACCGGGAGGGUGCGCCGAAAACUGGUUGGCUGGAGUAUGGGAGAGGAAAGCGGAAUUCCUGGUGUAGCGGUGAAAUGCGUAGAUAUCAGGAGGAACACCUGCGGUGUAGACAGCUUUCUGGACCAAAACUGACGCUGAGGCACGAAAGCGUGGGUAGCAAACA